AUACCAGCUCUCCGAGUGGUGUGGAUGUUUAUUGGGCCUAAAGCAUCCGUAGCUGGCUAAGUUGGUCCUUUGUUAAAUCCACCGAAUUAAUCGUUGGAUUGCGGGGGAUACUGCUUGGCUAGGGGACGAGAGAGGCAGACGGUAUUUCCGGGGUAGGGGUGAAAUCCUAUAAUCCCGGGAAGACCACCAGUGGCGAAGUCUACCUACUAGACCGCGCCCGACGGUGAGGGAUGAAAGCUGGGGGAGCGAACCGGAUUAGAUUCCCGGGGAGUCCCAGCUGUAAACGAUGCAGGCUAGGUGUUUGGACGGCCACGUGCCGUUCUAGUGCCGCAGGGAAGAUGUUAAGGCUGCCGCCUGGGGAGUUCGAUAGCAAGAUUGAGACUGAAAGGAAUUGCCGGGG
RNAcentral lists this ribosomal RNA (400 nucleotides) under uncultured bacterium. RNAcentral describes it as "partial 16S ribosomal RNA". It matches the Rfam family "Archaeal small subunit ribosomal RNA", at positions 473 to 873 of the family's 1478-position model. The record is from RNAcentral.